AUACGUAGGUGGCAAGCGUUGUCCGGAAUUAUUGGGCGUAAAGCGCAUGUAGGCGGUGCCUUAAGUCUGUCGUGAAACUGCGGGGCCUAACCCCGUAUGGCGAUGGAAACUGUGGCACUUGAGUGCAGGAGAGGAAAGGGGAACUCCCAGUGUAGCGGUGAAAUGCGUAGAUAUUGGGAAGAACACCGGUGGCGAAGGCGCCUUUCUGGACUGUGUCUGACGCUGAGAUGCGAAAGCCAGGGUAGCGAACGGGAUUAGAUACCCCGGUAGUCCUGGCCGUAAACGAUGGGUACUAGGUGUGGGAGGUAUCGACCCCUUCCGUGCCGGAGUUAACGCAAUAAGUACCCCGCCUGGGGAGUACGGCCGCAAGGCUUAAACUCAAAUGAAUUGACGG
This 394-nucleotide ribosomal RNA is filed under the name uncultured bacterium. Its description in RNAcentral is "partial 16S ribosomal RNA". It matches the Rfam family "Bacterial small subunit ribosomal RNA", at positions 523 to 916 of the family's 1533-position model. The record is from RNAcentral.